RNAcentral lists this long non-coding RNA (4465 nucleotides) under Nicotiana benthamiana. RNAcentral's name for it is "long non-coding RNA (NBEN_LNC022787)". Lineage: Eukaryota; Viridiplantae; Streptophyta; Magnoliopsida; Solanales; Solanaceae. The record is from RNAcentral.
UCAUUUCUCCCAUGUAGCCACAUCUGAACACUCCCCUUCUCUCAAACACUCGAACUCCUAACAGCCUCUGUCGUCUUCUCCGACCAGUUCUCGCCGGAGUCCAUGGCUUCUCAGGCAAUGGACGACCUGUGCUCACUUCCCUUCACCCCAUAUCAUGGCUGUUCAAGGCUUUCGAGGUUCAACCUCAACGAGGAGUGUUUAGAUCCUCCAUCGAUUUGUGUUCAUGUCAUUUCUCCGGCUCCGUUCUGACAUGUUCGAGCUUUAAAAGGCCCAGCUGUUGUUCAGACCUGUUCGAGACCAGAUCCAUUUCAAGACUUCUCAUUUCUAGGGUUUUUGAGAAACCCUAAAAGCUUGUUUGAGGUUCCUUCUUCCUUUAUUUUCUUAAAUCUGUGAUAGAUAUGUGUUAUACUCAAGGUUGUAAAGCUUUUCCCUAAUUUAAAGCUUUAUUUUCUUAGGUUUUCAAAAAUCUUAAAACGAUUUCCAUUUCUUCUUUUUCUUCUUUCUUUAUUUGAAUCUGUCUGUUUAUGCCAUGUUUUAUGAGUUUUUCUUAUGUUUUGUAUCCUUUCCUCACAUAUCUUCUCCUAUUUGCCAUUAUUUGUGCUCUGUUAUUUCCUCUACUAGUUUCUACAACAUGUUUUUAAAUGUCUAUCUUAUGUGUUCCUUUGCUAGUUUACAAGUGAAUUGUGUUUGCCUUUAUUGGACCUCUUUUUGAGACCUAAACCUGUUUCAUCUGCUGUUGCUUAAAGAUUUAUGUCACCUCUUUUGUCUACUGAACUCGCUUGAGUUCUGAGCUUUUCUUAAACAUGUUUUGUGAUUUUUUCACUCUGUUGCUUCAAAUUUGCCAUUAUAUCUAUGUGUUUUCUCAUGAGACUCUCUGAGUCUAUUUCGAUGGCUUACCCUCUCCUUUCUGUACCCUACUCGAAUUUGAAACCCUAGGAUUUGGGGUUUCUGUGAGUUUGGGUCUUUGUGCCUGGACUAGGGUUCUACUUUAGACCCUGGAUUGAGCUGGAAUCUUUUUGCUUAUGAUUUGAAACUUUCUAUGCCAAUCGUUUCUUUCUUGUUUGACACAUGUGUGCUUUUUAUAUGGAAGCUUUUCUUUCAAAAUGAUCUUGCCAACUUGUGACUGGUUUUGAAUUCCUUUUACUAAGGCUUGAUUGAUUUGUUACUGAUUUUCCCAAUUGAACAUUUUCUCACCCUUUUUCUGACUAAGUUCAUUCAAACUAAGCUUUCAAUUUACUGGCUGUUUAAUUGAUCUACUUUUCUUAUUUCUCACAAAUCAUGCACCAUAGGAUUCUUGCCUUAAAUAUUCUCUAUGUGUUUACCUAUGUUAUGUAAUUUUGGAAAGGUUUUUAACUAUUCUUCUUUCCUUAAUUGUCUCACGCCCGUUUGAAAUCAAAUCCCUUAACCUUAGGAGACCUUUUGUGAUUGAUUGUAAACUAUUUUCUUGCUAUUUCUUACUCGUUUUCUGCACUAUAAAAAGGUGACUACACUUUUAGCUCUUAGACACAACUUUUCUACACAACAGACCUCAAAAAUACUUUUCACAAUUAGGCAUUACACAAUUGCAAUACUUUCUCUACUCCUAAUACUGAGCACUCUGCUCCUUUUCUCUUUUACUGUCUGAAACAUUCUUGAGUUCCUUUUGAACUCUCAAGUAUUUGCUGAAGAACUUGAGUUUGCUCCUGUUGACUUCUAGUUGUUUACUUGCUCUUAUUGUUCUGUUAUUCUAGUAUUUGCAGCUGGUAUGUCACUCUUAAUUAUAUAAUUCCCCCUCCGCUAUGUGUUUAUUUUAUGUCUUAAGUUUAUUUACUCUUAUUGUUCAGAAACUCUAGUGUUUGCAACUGGUAUGUUAUUCUUAGUUAAAUAAUUCCCUCUUCACUAUGUGUUAUUUUGUUGUUAGCUUGUUCUGCUUGCUUGUCCUGGGUAGCUACGUCCUAGUCUGUUAUACGUCUUUGCUUAUGUUUCUCCAACUCUGUAAAUGAUUAUAUUAUGUGAAUCCCUAUCCCUUUACCCCUUUUGUAUGAAGAGUACAAUUCCAGUCAUGGAAAUAUCCUAUUAUUGCUAUCCAAUGACUUUGAACCGGGUUCUUUUGAACCCUUAUUCAAAUCAAUUCCCACUCCCAUUUCUCCUUUAUGUGCUAAGCCUUGACUCAAGUCUGGUGGUGUCAUAAUGACCAUCCAGACUCAGGUCUGGCCUCUAAGGUCGGCUCUUUAUUUGUUUGGACCAAGCAACUGGUCAGGGGUGUGCCAGUCUAUGCCCAUGUCUGGGCAUGAACACCAUUUGCUAUGGCUCCCUAAUCCCUCUCUCACUUUGCACUUAUUCCUAGUUCUAAGUUCUGCCCCCCCUCCCCCCGGUAAGCCAUGCUUUAGGACCCUGGAGACCACUCUGAACUUGGAUGCCUGAGGGCUGGCUAUUCCACACUGCACUAUUCUGUUUUAAUUGUUAUCAAGAGUGUAAGCACUGACUGGAGCCCUUGAGGCUCAUUGGAACUCUGAAACACUUUGGAUUAGAGAAGGCUUUGGAAGUGUGGAAUCCAAAAUUGUUUAAUCACAUGCUAUUGGGUACUAAGAUUCAAUAGGGCGCUCGGAUCUAGCUGUAGACUUUAAAAAAACUCGGGGAAUAUUAGUAAAAGGGUGUGGGAAGGGUUUACUUUUUUCUUGCAUUAAAUAAAGAGUAGAUACCAUAUCUAGAGGUUUAAUGUUUAAAUAAUUCACCUAGAUACCAUGUUUAUAGGUUUAAUGUUUUAAUCAGUCACAUAGAUACCAUGUCUAUAGGUUUAACGUCUUAAUUCAAUCACUUAGAUACUAUAUCUAUAGAAUUAACAGUCAUCUAGAAAUUCUGCCUAUAGAUUUUAAUACUUUAUCAUCUUGCAAAUCAUUAGAAAUCCUGCAUAUAGAAUUUAAUAUUCAUGUAAUUAGUUGCAUAUAGAAACCAUGCCUAUAGGACAUGCAUAUGUGUUAGGCAAACUAUAGGCUAAUCAAACAAUCACUCUUUUUACCGAUUCAGUAACAAGUCUUACAGAACAAAUAUAGAUAUCAUGCCAAUAGGAAUUCAUCUCAAGCUCGCCUAAUUUGUUAAAGUAAUAACAACCUGCUAACUGGCCCUAAUGUUUAAUGUAACAUUUUCAGUAAAGCUCUUAUAAGUCUGUAAUUCUUUAAAACUCUUUAAAUCUGCAUCUUUUCUGAAACACUUGUUUUUAAAUCUCCUUACUAAGUGUUUUAUUCAGUCCCUAAAACUAUCUUUUGAAACACCAUGUCAACUCGUUCUUUCUUUCUUUUUAUUGUAUUCUCUCUUUUCAAAACUUUCCUGUGAUUUACUUAAACAAUCUGCUAUCCAUAAAAAUUCUUCCUGAAAUUACUGCAAUCUCGACUUUCUUAUCAAAUUUGCUACAUCAGGCCAUCUUUUUCUGAAAUUAGUAUUUUUGGAAUAACCCGUUUAAAUACUCCAAUUUCUGACAGUUGGAUCCGAGUUGCCUAAUGCAGACUUUUUAUCUAAUUCUAUGUGUUAAACUAGUCCGUCCGCCGCUUAAGUUUAAUUUAAAGACAAAACCAGUAUGUGCAAGGCAUGCUAACUAAGUGUCAUCAGAUUUACAUGGGUUUUGUGAGCUUUACAUGUUUUUUUUGUCAAUCCCCUCUACUUGUUAUAUGUUUUGUUUGUCGAAACUAGGAUUUUAUCCUUUAAACACCCAUAUAUGCCUCUACCCCCAUUCCUUUCCCUUUUAGGAUUAGAAGUCCUAAUGCCCCAGGACUGAUAGGUUGGGACGGGUAGUAGCAUGCAAUAAGUAAAUGAUACUAAUCGUAUUUAAAUACCUUGACGUGGUGGGAAGGGUAGAAUAUGGAGAUGAUGACCGAUGGCUAAUAUCACGUGUGACCCCUCUUUGGAGGAGUGAUUGCUGGAUAUUGCAUUGAUGUGAUCCAUAUUUUGUAUAAACCUAGUACCCCUUUUUCCUUUCUUUUAUUUCCCAUGUCUUCUUUACUUCUAUUUCUUUAAAUUAACUGUGUUUUUUCUAAAAGCUAUCCCUUUUCUAUCUUCUUUUCCUUUUCAAAAGCUUUAAACUUAUUUGUGAUUCUUAUGAGCAAAGCUUUACCUGUUUUCUUCUACUUCUUUUAAAUUCACAAUUAAAGCAUGGCCAGGAACCACACUAGUGGAUCUUGAGGGGUGCCUAACACCUUCCCCUCGAGAUAAUCUCAAGCCCUUACCCGAACUCUAGUUUCCUUUCAAAAUUUCUUCUUCUCUUUAAAGUGUCCUAAUUCACUAUAAUAAUUAGGUAGCAACUCUUAUAAUUCUAUGACCCGAUACCCACAAGGGAAUAAGAGUUGAUUUUCCCAUAAUAUCGUAAACACGAUUUCACUCUUUAGAAAAAGGGGGCAUCGACACCAAAAACAAGAGCUGACUGCAAUGCUGAGGACUUGAGAAAGUGGAAAAGAAUGCUAAGUCCAAGAAAUGGCUUGUGUGUGUACUUGGU